RNAcentral lists this ribosomal RNA (274 nucleotides) under uncultured bacterium. Its description in RNAcentral is "partial 16S ribosomal RNA". It matches the Rfam family "Bacterial small subunit ribosomal RNA", at positions 523 to 796 of the family's 1533-position model. The record is from RNAcentral.
AUACGGAGGGUCCAAGCGUUAUCCGGAAUCAUUGGGUUUAAAGGGUCCGCAGGCGGUCAAUUAAGUCAGAGGUUAAAGCCCAUCGCUCAACGAUGGAACUGCCUUUGAUACUGGUUGACUUGAGUUAUACGGAAGUAGAUAGAAUAAGUAGUGUAGCGGUGAAAUGCAUAGAUAUUACUUAGAAUACCGAUUGCGAAGGCAGUCUACUACGUAUAUACUGACGCUGAGGGACGAAAGCGUGGGGAGCGAACAGGAUUAGAUACCCUAGUAGUCC